Molecule: long non-coding RNA, 682 nt
Filed under: Triticum aestivum (bread wheat)
Lineage: Eukaryota; Viridiplantae; Streptophyta; Magnoliopsida; Poales; Poaceae
Description: long non-coding RNA (TAES_LNC020126)
Source: RNAcentral
GAUGCUCUGGUGGAGUUCCCGGUGGAUCCGGUAGUCAGGUACGCGCGGUUCCUCUGCUCCCACCACCCCUUCCGCAAAUCUCUGUCGCCGCGGUGUGCUGAUCUGCGGUGCCCAGCCUGGUAGGUUGCCUAUCUUCCAAAAUGCGAUACGUGUGGCGGCGCCGGAUCUCGAUGGAGGGAGCGAGGUGAGUAGCCGUCGGGACGAUGUGGCUCCGGAGUCUUCCGUGGCUGCGCCUGCGGAAUCGGGUGAAUCCGGAUCCAAGAGCGCGUGAGAUUAGGAGGUAAUGAAUCAUGCUUGCUGUGUGCUAUUUCUGUGUGGAUUACCCAUGCGUGCUACGACUGCAAAAAUAGAAAAUCUGGAAGAAUGGAAAGAGAUGUGUAGUGUGUCGUAUCAGUGAUGAACAGGAGGAAAAGAAUAAGGAAGUUAGCUGAUAGGAUAUUUGUGGACUGUGCCGUGGGCGGUGUGUAUAUUUUCUUGCUUUGCCAUUGUUGUUGGUGACGUGAAUAACGUUGAAGGCAGAUGAGUACUCUGGUUGCAGAUAAUAUGUGGCGGAAAUCUUACUGCAAUCCUGUGUAACUCAGGGAAACGUUAGCUCUGGAAAAAUCAAAAAGUGACGUCAAUCUUGCUAUUGCUGAAAAUUGGACGAAAAUGAAUAGACAGCUUGCAGUUGAUAGAAUUUCCC